RNAcentral lists this ribosomal RNA (253 nucleotides) under uncultured bacterium. RNAcentral's name for it is "partial 16S ribosomal RNA". It matches the Rfam family "Bacterial small subunit ribosomal RNA", at positions 524 to 776 of the family's 1533-position model. The record is from RNAcentral.
UACGGAGGGUGCGAGCGUUGUCCGGAAUCACUGGGCGUAAAGGGCGCGUAGGCGGCUCAUGAAGGCUGUGGUGAAAGUCCGGGGCUCAACCUCGGAUCGGCCGUGGCGACUCGUGGGCUGGAGCACUGUAGAGGCGGGUGGAAUUCCUGGUGUAGCGGUGGAAUGCGCAGAUAUCAGGAGGAACACCGAUGGCGAAGGCAGCUCGCUGGGACGGUACUGACGCUGAGGCGCGAAAGCGUGGGGAGCGAACAGG